RNAcentral lists this unclassified non-coding RNA (333 nucleotides) under soil metagenome. RNAcentral's name for it is "partial contains 5.8S ribosomal RNA, internal transcribed spacer 2, and large subunit ribosomal RNA". The stretch from base 1 to 120 matches the Rfam family "5.8S ribosomal RNA", at positions 35 to 154 of the family's 154-position model. The record is from RNAcentral.
GAUGAAGAACGUAGCGAAAUGCGAUAAGUAGUGUGAAUUGCAGAAUUCAGUGAAUCAUCGAAUCUCUGAACGCACAUUGCGCCCCUCGGUAUUCCGUGGGGCAUGCCUGUUCGAGCGUCAUUUACCCCUCAAGCACUGCUUGGUGUUGGGCGUCUGUCCCGCUUCGCGCGCGGACUCGCCCCAAAGGUAUUGGUAGCGGUCGUGCCAGCUUCUCGCGCAGCACAUUGCGCUUCUCGAGGCGGUCGAUCGGCGUCCACGAAGCUCACCUCCACCGUUUGACCUCGGAUCAGGUAGGGAUACCCGCUGAACUUAAGCAUAUCAAUAAGCGGAGGA